AACGGUGAACUUCGUUUUCAUUUGCCCAAUGUUAAACACGUUUAAGUAAAAAUGUUUAAGCGAAACAUGGAAAUUACACGUACUCUGCUCUGACACCACUGC
This is a long non-coding RNA of Xenia sp. Carnegie-2017, 102 nucleotides long. RefSeq lists it as uncharacterized. The transcript is spliced from 3 exons. The record is from RefSeq and is a predicted model, not a curated record. Lineage: Eukaryota; Metazoa; Cnidaria; Anthozoa; Malacalcyonacea; Xeniidae.